CGGGGGAUGACGGUACCGGAAGAAUAAGCACCGGCUAACUACGUGCCAGCAGCCGCGGUAAUACGUAGGGUGCAAGCGUUAAUCGGAAUUACUGGGCGUAAAGCGUGCGCAGGCGGUUUGCUAAGACCGAUGUGAAAUCCCCGGGCUCAACCUGGGAACUGCAUUGGUGACUGGCAGGCUAGAGUAUGGCAGAGGGGGGUAGAAUUCCACGUGUAGCAGUGAAAUGCGUAGAGAUGUGGAGGAAUACCGAUGGCGAAGGCAGCCCCCUGGGCCAAUACUGACGCUCAUGCACGAAAGCGUGGGGAGCAAACAGGAUUAGAUACCCUGGUAGUCCACGCCCUAAACGAUGUCAACUAGUUGUUGGGGAUUCAUUUCCUUAGUAACGUAGCUAACGCGUGAAGUUGACCGCCUGGGGAGUACGGUCGCAAGAUUAAAACUCAAAGGAAUUGACGGGGACCCGCACAAGCGGUGGAUGAUGUGGAUUAAUUCGAUGCAACGCGAAAAACCUUACCUACCCUUGACAUGGUCGGAAUCC
This 535-nucleotide ribosomal RNA is filed under the name Burkholderia cepacia. RNAcentral's name for it is "partial 16S ribosomal RNA". It matches the Rfam family "Bacterial small subunit ribosomal RNA", at positions 463 to 998 of the family's 1533-position model. The record is from RNAcentral. Lineage: Bacteria; Pseudomonadati; Pseudomonadota; Betaproteobacteria; Burkholderiales; Burkholderiaceae. RNAcentral also lists the same sequence under 1 other name.